CUACGGGAGGCUGCAGUGAGGAAUAUUGCACAAUGGGGGGAACCCUGAUGCAGCAACGCCGCGUGGAGGAUGACGCAUUUCGGUGUGUAAACUCCUUUUAUAUGUCAAGAAAAUGACGGUAGCAUAUGAAUAAGCACCGGCGUAACUCCGUGCCAGCAGCCGCGGUGAUACGGAGGGUGCAAGCGUUACUCGGAAUCACUGGGCGUAAAGGACGCGUAGGCGGGUUGGAAAGUCAGGUGUGAAAUCCUACAGCUUAACUGUAGAACUGCACUUGAAACUUCUAAUCUAGAGUAUGGGAGGGGGAGAUGGAAUUAGUGGUGUAGGGGUAAUAUCCGUAGAUAUCACUAGGAAUACCUAAAGCGAAGGCGAUCUCCUGGAACAUUACUGACGCUAAGGCGUGAAAGCGUGGGGAGCAAACAGGAUUAGAUACCCUAGUAGUC
RNAcentral lists this ribosomal RNA (440 nucleotides) under uncultured bacterium. RNAcentral's name for it is "partial 16S ribosomal RNA". It matches the Rfam family "Bacterial small subunit ribosomal RNA", at positions 339 to 795 of the family's 1533-position model. The record is from RNAcentral.